CUUGAACCCCUAUCCUCAUCGUCGCUGCUUGAAGAUUCUGAAGAUGAGCUGGAACUUGACUCUGAUGAACUUUUGUGCUGUUAAAGAUUUAAAGGUGAGGGCAUCAAACAAAUUUUAAGUAAGCAAAGUACCUAGAACAGAGUUAUCAUAACUAAAUAUAUUUCCAUUAGGUAAAUUGCAACAAUUUCACAAAUAGGCAGCAGGUCAUAAGCUAGAGUAUACCUUUCUCCUCUUUUUACUUCUUUUCUUUGCGUCCUUAUCCUUCCUCUCUGUUUUCAAACUUCUUUUGUCAGAAGAGCCAUAUAAUAGAUGCAAUAUAUUUAUAUUUGAGGAAUGGCAAGUGAUGGAAAUACUAAGAUUCUAACAUUACAGAUAUUUAUUUGGUAGGUUGCCCAUUACCUUUCUUGGAAGAUGAUGAUUUUGAGUUUGACCUUGAGUGAUUUCUUCCGUUUGCUAGCUUUUGAGCUCUUUCAGCAUCCAG
Molecule: long non-coding RNA, 481 nt
Filed under: Zea mays
Lineage: Eukaryota; Viridiplantae; Streptophyta; Magnoliopsida; Poales; Poaceae
Description: long non-coding RNA (ZMAY_LNC004390)
Source: RNAcentral